UACGUAGGGGGCAAGCGUUGUCCGGAUUCAUUGGGCGUAAAGCGCGUGUAGGCGGCUUUGCAAGUCGGGUGUGAAAGCCCUCGGCUCAACCGAGGAAGUGCGCCCGAAACUGCAGAGCUUGAGUACCGGAGAGGAUGGCGGAAUUCCCCAAGUAGAGGUGAAAUGCGUAGAGAUGCGGAGGAACACCGAUGGCGAAGGCAGCCCCCUGGGCCAAUACUGACGCUCAGGCACGAAAGCGUGGGGAGCAAACAGG
Molecule: ribosomal RNA, 253 nt
Filed under: uncultured bacterium
Lineage: Bacteria
Description: partial 16S ribosomal RNA
Rfam family: Bacterial small subunit ribosomal RNA
Source: RNAcentral